GUACGAUCCUGUCUUCGACUUUCCUCCCAGCCUUCGUGCAGUUUGUGAAAAAUAAAAUAAAAUCUUCAUCCGUAACAAUUGGGCGAAAGUGGAUAGAACUUGGGUUCGAAUAAAUGUUGACCUGCAGUCAGGUGUUAACAGUAUUCAAAUUUUUUUAUGAUGCAAUUACCAAGUUUUUGUUUUGCUAUUCAAAAAAAUCAUCCAAAGAAUCUGCUAACUGUGAAAGGUCGCCUAUGAAAGAAUCCAGUCUCCUCAUAACGCUGGCACACUCUUCGAACCGCUGCGUGGGUCAUAUCCAAUUGUCAAGCAGCAACUCGCUGACCAAGUCCAUUUUCGAUUAAAGCAAUAACUUGGACAGCUUUUUAUGGCGUAGUAUGCAUGAAACUAACACACUUUAACACUAUUGAGAUGAUACAAAAAAAUUAUAUAAAUUGUAAUAGAAAUUUAAUUAAAUUAAUAAUGAAAAAA
Long non-coding RNA from Diorhabda carinulata, 468 nucleotides. RefSeq lists it as uncharacterized. Lineage: Eukaryota; Metazoa; Arthropoda; Insecta; Coleoptera; Chrysomelidae. The transcript is spliced from 4 exons. The record is from RefSeq and is a predicted model, not a curated record.